UUAAUGUUUCUUGCUCAAAUGAGUAUUCCAAUCACAGUAGCAAAGAUGGCUAAGCAGAAAAUACAGAAACAAUGGUUUAAACUAAUUUGUUCUUGUACAUCAACAAAAGUUUAUUUUUGAUAUUCCUUGCUUAGUGAAAAAUGCUGAUGAUUGAUUGAGAUGCUCAUUUGAGUAAGCAGUAUUAU
Molecule: non-coding RNA, 185 nt
Organism: Beta vulgaris subsp. vulgaris (sugar beet)
Lineage: Eukaryota; Viridiplantae; Streptophyta; Magnoliopsida; Caryophyllales; Amaranthaceae
Source: Rfam